RNAcentral lists this ribosomal RNA (433 nucleotides) under uncultured bacterium. RNAcentral describes it as "partial 16S ribosomal RNA". It matches the Rfam family "Bacterial small subunit ribosomal RNA", at positions 29 to 507 of the family's 1533-position model. The record is from RNAcentral.
AGCGAACGCUGGCGGCAGGCCUAACACAUGCAAGUCGAACGAACUCUUCGGAGUUAGUGGCGGACGGGUGAGUAACACGUGGGAACGUGCCUUUUGGUUCGGAAUAGCUCAGGGAAACUUGUGCUAAUACCGAAUGUGCCCUUCGGGGGAAAGAUUUAUCGCCAUUAGAGCGGCCCGCGUCUGAUUAGCUAGUUGGUGAGGUAACGGCUCACCAAGGCGACGAUCAGUAGCUGGUCUGAGAGGAUGACCAGCCACACUGGGACUGAGACACGGCCCAGACUCCUACGGGAGGCAGCAGUGGGGAAUCUUGCGCAAUGGGCGAAAGCCUGACGCAGCCGUGCCGCGUGAAUGAUGAAGGUCUUAGGAUUGUAAAAUUCUUUCACCGGGGACGAUAAUGACGGUACCCGGAGAAGAAGCCCCGGCUAACUUCGUG